AGAUGCAACAUAAAAAUUUCAGAGACAGAAGAAAUCUUCCUUUGAGGGCAGUGAUACACUUAUGUGAGAUUUUGAAAAGUGAAAAAUCAAAGGUGGAAUUGACCAAUAGAUGUAAAAGUACAACAAAUAAACAAAAAUGGCAAUGUUGAAAGUGAAACUGAAAUUCAACAGAAAUAAAAGAAAUAGCAGACUGGGGGGAUAUUGACUUUGACACCAUGAUGCCAGAGGAACUUAGUAAUGGCAAACUUAUCAAUAUAAAAUGAGGAUAUUGGUUGUCAACUAGGUUGUGUGGUGGUCCUUGAUCUUGUCCAUCAAGUCCUUUUUCCCAAAGGAUAACUGAAGAAGAUCACAUACAUUCCAACUUAUUGAGUCUGAUAGGUAUUCAUCUGAUGAGCUCCUCUUCAACUGAGGAUUGAAAUGCUGUUUUUCUUCCCUGGUACAAUGUUAAAGCUUUAAACUCUCGUCAAUGAUGUGAUGUUUCAUCUGCAAUGAUCUACACUAGAAAAAUAAAGAUGUAGUUACUGACAAAAAAGCAGACCCCAGACUCAGCUGUCAGAGAGGAGAAGCAGCUGGAUGCUGGGGACUAAGGCUGGACAUUGUCGAGAAACAGCUUGACUUCCGAGGGACAGCUUGAUGGUGUAACUUCAGAGAAUAAUCUAAAGGGGAAGAUUCUUCAGGGGAAGAUUACCUGCCUACCCCAUACCUUUUUCAGCUCCCCUACCUGCAGAGACCUACUUUUUUCAGCAAUAAAAUCCCACAUAUUUACUAUCCUUCAAUUUGUUCAUUUGACCUCAUUUUUUCUGGACAUCAGACAAGAGCUCAGGAGCCACAAGUGUGGAUACAAAAGGCUCUCACACUGGCCCUUUGCACUCAUGGG
RNAcentral lists this long non-coding RNA (877 nucleotides) under Pan troglodytes (chimpanzee). RNAcentral describes it as "lincRNA". Lineage: Eukaryota; Metazoa; Chordata; Mammalia; Primates; Hominidae. The record is from RNAcentral.